AUGGGCUCGCCGACGCCGACGCCGCCGCCGCCACCGACGCCAUCAUCACGGGCCAGCUGUUACUCCCUGCGCCUCCACCGGAGGCGGGCGGUGGCGGGUUUAAGAAGAAGGCCACACCGGGGCAAGAUGAAGCUCAUGUACUUUCUGAUGGACGGCGAGGGGGAGGAGCAGCGGUGCCGGGCGGAGGAGCUCCGGCUGGAGGUGUCGGAGCUGGAGGCCGUGCUGGCCAAGGAGGAGCGCCUCAGCCGGGUCCUCCGCUGCUCGCUCCAGGCCGGCCGCCUGGACGCCGCCGCCUGCCGCUGCUGCCUCUCCGCCAACCUCGUCCCAUCCAAGAUCAGGGGGCUCCUCGCGGAGCUGGCGAUCGUGGAGGACGAGAUAUUCUACCUCGAGAAGAAGGUCGACGACCUGCGGACGCGCCUCCUCCGGGAGCGCAACUGGACCCACCACUGCAUUCUUCAGCAGCAGCAGCAGCAGCGGCAGCGGCAGCAGGACUGGCCGCCGGGCCGGCACUGCAUUGGCCGGAGGGAGCUUCAUUGCGGCGAGCAGCUCCCCAGGCUGCCUGGUCCAGGCGGCGGCGGCGGUGGCGAUGGAGGAGGUCUCGAGCGUGAGAGCAAGGCCUCUGCCGGGUCUGUCUCUUCGCAAGGCGAGGAGACUGAUCAGAGCAGGAGAAGCAGCCACUCUUUCGAAAAUCUCAGACCCCCUGAAAGGAAAAUCUGCUCGAGCAGUCCAAACAAGCUGUCGGAGGACCUCAUCAAGCUGACGGUGACCAUCUUCCACAAGCUGAGCAGGACGACGAAUCAUGCAGACUCGGAGCUGGCGCUGAGCAGCGCGUCGAAGCUCAACAUCACCUCCUGCAUAGGCUCCUCCAGAAGCCUCGCCCCCAAGCUGUCGUCGUCGUCGUCGAGCGACGGUGCGGCGCCGCCCGUCCGCUCUGCCAAGAGCCGUGCAGCAGCGCCCCCGGAGUGCGGCGGCGACGAAGGGGAGGCGGCCGGCCGGUGCAAUAGGUUCGUCGAGUUCACCCGGAGCUCGUUCGACGCGAGCCGCGUGUCGCUGUGCCUCGCUGACAUCAAGAACUUGAGAGUGCUGAUGAACAAGCUGUGCACCGUGGAUCCGAGCUUCCUGACCAACAAGCAGAAGCUGGCCUUCUGGCUCAACAUCUACAACUUCUGCGUGAUGCAUGCAUUUCUUCAGCACGGUCUGCCUCCAUCGCCGGACAAGCUGCUGGCCCUGCUGAAUCAGGCUUCAGUGAAUGUGGGAGGAAGGGUGCUAAGCGUCCUGUCGAUCGAGCGUCUGUUCCUCAGGCACCCCCCUGUUGAAGGCAACAAGCAGGGGAUGAUGAUGGAGGAAGGGGAGCGGGAUAUGGAGCUCUGCUACGGGCUAGGGUACCCUGAACCCAACGUCGUCUUCGCGCUCUGCAGGGGCAGCCGCUCCUCGCCACCCGUCCGGGUGUACACGGCGGAGGAGGUGUCGAGCGAGCUGGAGGCGGCCAAGGUGGAGUACCUGGAGCGGUGCGUCCGGGUCGCCGGCGCGAGGCGGAAGAAGACGAAGUCGAAGGCCGCGGCGGCGACGAUCGUGCUGCCGAAGCUGCUGCACUGGCACAUGCGGUGCUUCGCCGACGACGUGGAGUCGCUGCUGGAGUGGGUCCACAGUCAGCUCCCGCGCGCCACCGGGGCGCCCGAGCUCAAGAGGGCCAUCAGGGAGCUACUCCACCGCGGCAGGCCUCCGACGCCGGAGAAGAUGGUGGAGAUCGAGCCUUACGACGCCGACUUCAGAUACCUACUGCCCCUCGUCUCGUGA
This 1797-nucleotide ribosomal RNA is filed under the name Triticum aestivum (bread wheat). RNAcentral describes it as "partial small subunit ribosomal RNA". The record is from RNAcentral. Lineage: Eukaryota; Viridiplantae; Streptophyta; Magnoliopsida; Poales; Poaceae.